GACAGAGUGCAUGCAAGCAUUCAGCUGCAGUUGAAAGAAAGAACACCAUUUUAAGUGAAAAAUUUUUGCAAUAAAAUGAGCCAUCUAAUUUGUAAUAUUUUUGAGCAUACGCAUAAUGCUGCUAGUUCUUUGCAAGCUUUGCUUAUGGCAUGACUUGUUCAACGUAAAGUUGAGAUUCCAAAGUUUAAAAGAAAAUACUGCAUGGUUUAUGUAACAUAAGCUCUUUGACAUGAAAAGCUAAAAAUAUAUGUACAAUUUUGAGAAAAAAAAUAUUUUCUCAUGAAUUAAAGACUGUAACUUUAUGGAAUGGUUUCAGAAAAGAACUUCUAUUCCACUUAUCAGAAACACUUUCCAAGGCUAAGGUGAAGUAUUAUGUACUAUCAGAACUUGAAACAACAUACUGUGAAUAUCAACUAUGUUUUAAUUGAAGAAUAAUUCUGCACUGUGGUAGAUAAUGUACAAUGCAACUAUCUAAUUACUAAACAGGACAUGGUCCUCACAACCUUAAGUUGCUAUCUUAUAGUUGGGACCCACUAUGAUCCUUUAUGCACCAUCCAAUACAGCAAGUAACAAGCAGUGAGAUGAUAGGCUGAUACUUACAAAAUCGAGAGUAUAAUAUUUGGA
This 624-nucleotide unclassified non-coding RNA is filed under the name Hevea brasiliensis (rubber tree). The record is from RNAcentral. Lineage: Eukaryota; Viridiplantae; Streptophyta; Magnoliopsida; Malpighiales; Euphorbiaceae.